RNAcentral lists this transfer RNA (85 nucleotides) under Methanomicrobiales archaeon HGW-Methanomicrobiales-1. RNAcentral describes it as "tRNA-Leu". It matches the Rfam family "tRNA". Rfam says of the family: Transfer RNA (tRNA) molecules are approximately 80 nucleotides in length. Their secondary structure includes four short double-helical elements and three loops (D, anti-codon, and T loops). The record is from RNAcentral. Lineage: Archaea; Methanobacteriati; Methanobacteriota; Methanomicrobia; Methanomicrobiales. RNAcentral also lists the same sequence under 1 other name.
GCGGGGAUAGCCAAGCCUGGCCAACGGCGAUAGACUCAAGAUCUAUUCUCGAAGGAGUUCGUCGGUUCGAAUCCGGCUCCCCGCA